RNAcentral lists this ribosomal RNA (483 nucleotides) under uncultured bacterium. Its description in RNAcentral is "partial 16S ribosomal RNA". It matches the Rfam family "Bacterial small subunit ribosomal RNA", at positions 30 to 506 of the family's 1533-position model. The record is from RNAcentral.
AUCGAACGCUGGCGGCAGGCCUAACACAUGCAAGUCGAGCGGAUGAAGGGAGCUUGCUCCUGGAUUCAGCGGCGGACGGGUGAGUAAUGCCUAGGAAUCUGCCUGGUAGUGGGGGAUAACGUCCGGAAACGGGCGCUAAUACCGCAUACGUCCUGAGGGAGAAAGUGGGGGAUCUUCGGACCUCACGCUAUCAGAUGAGCCUAGGUCGGAUUAGCUAGUUGGUGGGGUAAAGGCCUACCAAGGCGACGAUCCGUAACUGGUCUGAGAGGAUGAUCAGUCACACUGGAACCGAGACACGGUCCAGACUCCUACGGGAGGCAGCAGUGGGGAAUAUUGGACAAUGGGCGAAAGCCUGAUCCAGCCAUGCCGCGUGUGUGAAGAAGGUCUUCGGAUUGUAAAGCACUUUAAGUUGGGAGGAAGGGCAGUAAGUUAAUACCUUGCUGUUUUGACGUUACCAACAGAAUAAGCACCGGCUAACUUCGU